CACCGCGGUCAUACGAGUGUUAGCCCAAGCAGAUAAUUCAACGGCGUAAAAGGUGGUUAGGGGAUUAAUACAACUAAAGCUAAACGCCCUCCAGGCCGUUAUACGCAUCCGAUGGUAUGAAACCUCACCACGAAAGUGGCUUUAACCAACCUGAAUCCACGACAGCCAGGAUA
Molecule: ribosomal RNA, 173 nt
Filed under: Bolinichthys photothorax (spurcheek lanternfish)
Lineage: Eukaryota; Metazoa; Chordata; Actinopteri; Myctophiformes; Myctophidae
Description: partial 12S rRNA
Source: RNAcentral